AAAAUUAUGUGUACGUUUAUCUGUUCACCAAAAUAUUAGCAAUAGUUGUCCCUAUGUAGUGGGAUAACGGGUUGUAAUUUUGUUUGUAUUGUUUUCAAUUUCCUACAAUAUUUACUUUUGCCUUCAAAACAAUUUUAUUUACUAUGUUACAAAACACAAGACGAGAACACGUCUCUUCUCCGUCCCUUAGGUUACCCUCCCCCACCGGGGCGUGGCUUCCCGCCUUCUUUCUUGAGGUUCUCAGUCCGGUCCGCCGACCGGCGUAUAAAGACUCUGCCGCGACUGCAGCUGUCACAAGCCUUAGUUCAGUCUCUUACUUCGCAAUGUCUGGUCGUGGUAAGGGCGGUAAGGGCCUUGGGAAAGGCGGUGCCAAGCGCCACCGCAAAGUACUGCGCGACAACAUCCAGGGCAUCACCAAGCCCGCCAUUCGGCGUCUGGCUCGGCGUGGCGGUGUCAAGCGUAUCUCUGGUCUCAUUUACGAGGAGACCCGCGGGGUGCUCAAGGUCUUCCUGGAGAAUGUGAUCCGCGACGCUGUCACCUACACCGAGCACGCCAAGCGGAAGACAGUCACGGCUAUGGAUGUGGUCUACGCGCUCAAGCGCCAGGGGCGCACCCUGUAUGGUUUUGGUGGCUGAGUGCUCGUUUUCUUCGUUCACAACAAAAGGCCCUUUUCAGGGCCCCCUCCCCACUCUGCUGAGGAGCCGUGAUGCUGACUUGGAGCUACAAUUAAAACUGGAGAUCAUUAAGUCAAUUUGGUCUGUUUGCAAUUUAAGCGCUUCCAGGAAUACACAAAGUAGUGGGGGAGAGGGGAGGAGGAUGUCUGUUUUUUUUUUUUUUUUAAGGCUUCUGUUGAAGUUCAGUUUUUAUGAAGGUCUUCCUAAAUAUAGCACCUAUUGUCAAUCAGAAAAGGGUGACUGGUGUUGUUGAAGGGAAAAAUUAAAGCAAACAUCUUACUUUGAAUUUAAGGUUUUUCUUACCCACAAAACUAAAUAUUAACCAUAAAAAGUACAGACCAAAUUCUGCCAGUGGUUUUUCUUUCACCCAAAGUUGCUAAUGUUUUCUUUCCUGUUCGAAGAAAGGCUGCCUUCAUUUAAAUUUCAAAAGAUAUCAUGGCUAUGGGUGGGUGGAGGGCCAGGACCACCUUGUGACCAGAUAUCAUUUGAUCUCAGUAAAAAGAGGAGGGUAGGUUUCAGUCAAUUACGUUAUGAUCUUCUAUUCUUCUCCUUCCCCUUCACAAGCCUCAUUGUAACCAGUCUACUUCCAGUCACUUGCUUUGUUGGAAUCAGAAUGGUCUCCCUAUAUGCAUAUAGAAUAGCCACUGCCAUAGCUGCUCAGAAUAAACCUCAUGUUUCAAUUUCUUCGAGUUUUGAUUAUCUUUAACAGCAUAGUCUCACCGGUGCAUGGAGAAACAUUUAAGAGACUGUUGCUGGUCUAAAUCUUACCACAAGGGGGUUUGAGAGAGCUUUCCUUACUUAAAUUAACUAUUGAACAAGAUUUUUUUUUUUUUAUGAUGAAGUUCAUAAUCAGCACUCACUGGGGUUAGCUAUUUUAUGACAUUGAUGAAAAUGACGAAUGUGUCACUGGCGAUACCAAAUAAAAAUUCAGUAGGAGCAGUUACAGUAACAUUGAUUUAUAUACAGUAAAAUCAAAACAAAACCAAACCUACUGCCGUCGAGUCGAUUCUGACUCAUAGCGACCCUACAGGACAGAGUAGAACUGCCCCAUAGAGUUUCCAAGGAGCGCCUGGUGGAUUCGAAGUGCAGACCCUUUGGUUAGCAGCCAUAGCACUUAACCACUAAGUCAAAAGUGAAAAACUUAUGGCCCCACUUAUGGAGUGCAGAUGUGUUUUUUUCACACAGGUCUUUUUAAAAUCGUUUUGUCAGUUAUUUUAGAAAGAUAUUUUAUAUGAAUAAUGUAUAGUUUUCUUACCUCUGGAAAAAUUGUUAGACCUGGCACUGCUAAGUGGGCUCACAUAGUUUUUUUGGGCAUAAAGAAUAAUCAUUCUGUUUCGAAUGAAAAAAAAAAGUUAAGAUGUAAAUCGCCUGUUUUACAACUUUACUACCAAAGUGUUGCAACAUGGUGAAAUGUUUCCACGGGCAUUGGAAGCCGAAGGCUUGAAAUCAAACCUAUACCAAUCAUUUUCUAGUUGUGUGAACUUGAGUACAGUUACAUAUCCUUUCUGGGCCUCAAUUUUCUUUAUUUGUGUGACAAUGAUGAUAACAGUGCCUAGCUUAGUCAAAUGAGUUGAUAAAUGAAAAGUGCUUAGUACGGUGCCUGAUACACAAUAAGUACAAUAUGAAUCACUUCUUGUUAUUACUCGUUUAUGCCCGGCCCCUAAUUGCAUCUGACUUUGUGACCCCUAGAUGACAGCAACCUUUUCUAACAACCACUUUCCAGUCCUCAAGAUUCAGCCAUUGUGUACUUGGAUUUAAAAGAGGCCUAGUCUCCCCCGUCUCUCUAAUUGAGCAAUAAGAAAUACCCUAGUGUCAUUAACACAUUUUUUUAAAUAACUUUGUCAAAUUGAGAGAUUUUCUUGAUUAUUCCUACAAUGUCACAUGCUUUGUUGCUUUCGUAGUCACAUUCUGGGUGGUUAAGUGAAAGGCAGGAGGAGCCUUCCAUACUCUUCUGAGGAUGGCCACCUACAGCGUGACUGAGUAGGUUUGUUAUGGUUUUUGUCUUUCCCUAACUCCAUGUUCUCACUGCCUUUCUAUUAAUCUCAUCUCUUUUUUCUGCAUAGCGUAGAAUUUUACCACCAAAAAGAAACCCAGACAUUACAGGGACCAGAGAUUCUCUGACCUGACGGCAAAUAAGAAUCACUGAUGAAAGUUUGUUUUAAAUUCUCUGACCUGACAGCAAAUAAGAAUCACUGAUGAAAGUUUGUUUUAAAUGUCAAUAACUGGCUCUUCCCCAGACCAGUUAAAUUAGAAUCUCUAGAAAUGGGUAACCUCAAAUAUGUCUCAUUAGCACUUCCCAUUGAUACCUGGUCUCACCAAAAACAGAAACAAAAAAAAAUCCCAUUGCCAUCAAGUCAAUUCUGAUCCAUAGUGACCCUACAGGACAGAGAAUCCAUAAGAUUUCUAAGGAAAGGCUGGUAUAUUUGAACUGCCAGCCCUUUGGUUAGCAGCCAAGUUCUUAACCACCAGGGCUCCUCCCGGUCCCACAGGACUUUUCAAAUGGGGAGGGGGGAAUAUCAGUGUUUUACUGUCACCUUCUUAUCAAUGUCAGCUUUAAGUAAGAGGACACACUCAAAAGCAGCUACACCCUCAUCCCAAAACUCUGACCCACAUUAAGAGACAAAGGGCAAAUUAUUCUUCAUUUCAAAGAGAGUAUACAUGUCCCAUCCAGGAAUUCAAAUUCUUAUUUUUCUCCUAAAGGAUUUAGAUCAAAACUCAUGGGUUUGUUUUAUCUAUGCUUGAUGGCUUCACUACUGAUGGCUUAAAGGUUGUUGCAUAAAUAGGUUUUGCUGUAAACAAGGUUCGGCAGUUGGAGUUAAGA
This is an RNA transcript of Loxodonta africana (African savanna elephant), 3495 nucleotides long. RefSeq lists it as uncharacterized. The record is from RefSeq and is a predicted model, not a curated record. The transcript is spliced from 2 exons. NCBI's taxonomy places the organism in Eukaryota, Metazoa, Chordata, Mammalia, Proboscidea, Elephantidae.